ACUGCUGUCUAAGUAUAAGCAAUUAUACAGCGAAACUGCGAAUGGCUCAUUAUAUAAGUUAUCGUUUAUUUGAUAGUACCUUACUACUUGGAUAACCGUGGUAAUUCUAGAGCUAAUACAUGCUGAAAAUCCCGACUUCGGAAGGGAUGUAUUUAUUAGAUUAAAAACCAAUGCCCUCUGGGCUCCUUGGUGAUUCAUAAUAACUUUUCGAAUCGCACGGCCUUGCGCCGGCGAUGGUUCAUUCAAAUUUCUUCCCUAUCAACUUUCGAUGUUUGGGUAUUGGCCAAACAUGGUUGCAACGGGUAACGGAGGGUUAGGGCUCGACCCCGGAGAAGGAGCCUGAGAAACGGCUACUACAUCCAAGGAAGGCAGCAGGCGCGCAAAUUACCCAAUCCCGAUUCGGGGAGGUAGUGACAAUAAAUACUGAUACAGGGCUCUUUUGGGUCUUGUAAUUGGAAUGAGUACAAUUUAAAUCUCUUAACGAGGAACAAUUGGAGGGCAAGUCUGGUGCCAGCAGCCGCGGUAAUUCCAGCUCCAAUAGCGUAUAUUAAAGUUGUUGUGGUUAAAAAGCUCGUAGUUGAACCUUGGGCCUGGCUGGCCGGUCCGCCUCACCGCGUGCACUGGUCCGGCCGGGUCUUUCCCUCUGUGGAACCUCAUGCCCUUCACUGGGUGUGGCGGGGAAACAGGACUUUUACUUUGAAAAAAUUAGAGUGCUCCAGGCAGGCCUAUGCUCGAAUACAUUAGCAUGGAAUAAUACAAUAGGACGUGUGGUUCUAUUUUGUUGGUUUCUAGGACCGCCGUAAUGAUUAAUAGGGACAGUCGGGGGCAUCAGUAUUCAAUUGUCAGAGGUGAAAUUCUUGGAUUUAUUGAAGACUAACUACUGCGAAAGCAUUUGCCAAGGAUGUUUUCAUUAAUCAGGAACGAAAGUUAGGGGAUCGAAGACGAUCAGAUACCGUCGUAGUCUUAACCAUAAACUAUGCCGACUAGGGAUCGGACGAUGUUAUUUUUUGACGCGUUCGGCACCUUACGAGAAAUCAAAGUGCUUGGGCUCCAGGGGGAAUAUGGUCGCAAGGCUGAAACUUAAGAGAAAUUGACGGAAAGGA
Molecule: ribosomal RNA, 1103 nt
Filed under: Beauveria malawiensis
Lineage: Eukaryota; Fungi; Ascomycota; Sordariomycetes; Hypocreales; Cordycipitaceae
Description: SSU rRNA
Rfam family: Eukaryotic small subunit ribosomal RNA
Source: RNAcentral